RNAcentral lists this long non-coding RNA (242 nucleotides) under Lathyrus oleraceus (garden pea). Its description in RNAcentral is "Pisum sativum (pea) long non-coding RNA (PSAT_LNC020024)". Lineage: Eukaryota; Viridiplantae; Streptophyta; Magnoliopsida; Fabales; Fabaceae. The record is from RNAcentral.
UGUGAUUUCUUGUUUAUUGGGUGUUCAUGCUUUUGUACAUUUAUUUACUUACUUGCUUGCAUUCAUCUGUUGUAUCUGUUGGAUCUGUUUGUUUGUUUGUUGGGAUGGGGUGUUCUACGAGAGAUAAGCCCAUUACCCAGGCUUGAGUGUACACACAGGUUUUAGAGUGGAUGAUCAUGAGGCUUGCGUGGCAUGUUGCUACGUUAAGUCGUUCGUGAAGAACCACACCCAGACGAGGUUUC